UACGGAGGGUGCAAGCGUUAUCCGGAAUCACUGGGUUUAAAGGGUGCGUAGGCGGCGCUAUAAGUCAGAGGUGAAAGGCCACCGCUUAACGGUGGGACUGCCUUUGAUACUGUAGUGCUUGAAUCAGGCUGAGGUCGGCGGAAUGUGACAUGUAGCGGUGAAAUGCUUAGAUAUGACUAGAACACCAAUUGCGAAGGCAGCUAGAGGUCU
Molecule: ribosomal RNA, 210 nt
Filed under: uncultured bacterium
Lineage: Bacteria
Description: partial 16S ribosomal RNA
Rfam family: Bacterial small subunit ribosomal RNA
Source: RNAcentral